GGUUGAUCCUGCCAGUAGUCAUAUGCUUGUCUCAAAGAUUAAGCCAUGCAUGUCUAAGUAUAAACUGCUUUAUACUGUGAAACUGCGAAUGGCUCAUUAAAUCAGUAAUAAUUUAAUUGAUGGUACAUACUACUCGGAUAACCGUAGUAAUUCUAGAGCUAAUACGUGCGCACAUCCCGACUGUUGCGGAAGGGACGUAUUUAUUAGAUCCAAGACCGACCGAGCUGCUUGCAGUUCGUCUCGCGGUGACUCAUGAUAACUUAUCGAAUCGUAUGGCCUUGUUGCUGGCGAU
This 292-nucleotide ribosomal RNA is filed under the name uncultured eukaryote. Its description in RNAcentral is "partial 18S ribosomal RNA". It matches the Rfam family "Eukaryotic small subunit ribosomal RNA", at positions 6 to 291 of the family's 1831-position model. The record is from RNAcentral.